UUCUGUUGUUACCCCUUCGCUCUCAAACUAAAGAUGACCUAUGAGGCUUUGUCCAGUUUUGCUCUUCAUAUUAACUUGUAGAGUCUCGUGUCCAUUCUACAGGUUGAGUUGGACAUUUCCUUGUAUUUACUACUGUUGCCAGAGACCAGGGAAAGGUCAGCACCACCACCGAGAUUUCCUCUCCCAGCAGCCUGGGCAAAUCACCACUUCCAAGUAGGAAAUGAGAGAGAAACACACUCUGGCAGCGGGACAAUGUCAUCAUUGGUUGUUUAACUCUUGUUACCAGUAUAGUUUUAUUUCUUGGGGGAAGAGUGUUGACCUAGAAAUUAAGAGACAUGGGUAUUUACCUGUCCUGUUAAUUUUUACUUUUUCUCUGCCUCUCAAGUUGGCUGUGAUAAAAUCUGUGCCCACCUCCCUGCCCAGGACACAUGAGGCGAUAUGGACGUUUCAAGUGGCUGCGGAGACGAGAGCAAGGAAGAGAGCAUGGCAGCAAAGAUUCCAAUCACAGAAACAAAAGCCUACCAGUUGCUGAAGUGGUCUACCCUUCAGGAUAAUACAAAUCAAACUGAAGACAGGUUCCAAAAGGCAGAUGCUUCUGC
Diceros bicornis minor is the source of this 599-nucleotide long non-coding RNA. RefSeq lists it as uncharacterized. The record is from RefSeq and is a predicted model, not a curated record. The transcript has 3 exons. NCBI's taxonomy places the organism in Eukaryota, Metazoa, Chordata, Mammalia, Perissodactyla, Rhinocerotidae.